GAGUUUGAUCAUGGCUCAGGACGAACGCUGGCGGCGUGCUUAACACAUACAAGUCGAACGGUAAGGCCCCUUCGGGGGUACACGAGUGGCGAACGGGUGAGUAACACGUGAGCAACCUGCCCUUGACUCUGGGAUAAGCGAUUGAAAAGUCGUCUAAUACCGGAUAUGACUCUCACAGGCAUCUGUGAGGGUGGAAAUGCUCCGGCGGUCAAGGAUGGGCUCGCGGCCUAUCAGCUUGUUGGUGAGGUAACGGCUCACCAAGGCUUCGACGGGUAGCCGGCCUGAGAGGGCGACCGGCCACACUGGGACUGAGAUACGGCCCAGACUCCUACGGGAGGCAGCAGUGGGGAAUAUUGCGCAAUGGGCGAAAGCCUGACGCAGCAACGCCGCGUGCGGGAUGACGGCCUUCGGGUUGUAAACCGCUUUCAGCAGGGACGAAGGGUUUCUGACGGUACCUGCAGAAGAAGCACCGGCCAACUACGUGCCAGCAGCCGCGGUGAUACGUAGGGUGCGAGCGUUGUCCGGAAUUAUUGGGCGUAAAGAGCUUGUAGGCGGUUUGUCACGUCGGAAGUGAAAACUCAGGGCUUAACCCUGAGCCUGCUUCCGAUACGGGCAGACUAGAGGAAGGNAGGGGAGAAUGGAACUCCUGGUGGAGCGGUGGAAUGCGCAGAUAUC
Molecule: ribosomal RNA, 675 nt
Filed under: uncultured Propionibacteriaceae bacterium
Lineage: Bacteria; Bacillati; Actinomycetota; Actinomycetes; Propionibacteriales; Propionibacteriaceae
Description: bacterial SSU rRNA
Rfam family: Bacterial small subunit ribosomal RNA
Source: RNAcentral